RNAcentral lists this unclassified non-coding RNA (357 nucleotides) under Zea mays. RNAcentral's name for it is "misc RNA Zm00001eb116300". Lineage: Eukaryota; Viridiplantae; Streptophyta; Magnoliopsida; Poales; Poaceae. The record is from RNAcentral.
CCUGCCUACUGCUGCGCGUGCGACGCCGGGGGAUGCCCCAUGCAGGCGCAGAACGCGGACGAGAUCCUCCGCCGCAGCUUCUUGGGCCUCUCCUGGCGCUCGCCGCCGUCUGCCCUGGUGACGCCGACGCUGGCCGCAUCAGACGGGGACGCGGAGGCCACCACGUCUGGGCUCUCCACUAUGAUUCCUGCCGAUGAGGCGCCGGCGCCGGCGUGGCGCAUCAGCAGCGAGCGGGACACCACGCGGGGCGAGGGGUCCCCCGCGAGAAGGCUGGCGUCGGGGUGCAACGGCGCCGCCUUCGGCGUCGUCGUCGUCGUCGUCGUCGACGACGACAGCCCCUUGAGGUCCAGGCCCCGC